CUACGGGGGGCAGCAGUGGGGAAUAUUGCACAAUGGGCGCAAGCCUGAUGCAGCCAUGCCGCGUGUAUGAAGAAGGCCUUCGGGUUGUAAAGUACUUUCAGCGGGGAGGAAGGGAGUAAAGUUAAUACCUUUGCUCAUUGACGUUACCCGCAGAAGAAGCACCGGCUAACUCCGUGCCAGCAGCCGCGGUAAUACGGAGGGUGCAAGCGUUAAUCGGAAUUACUGGGCGUAAAGCGCACGCAGGCGGUUUGUUAAGUCAGAUGUGAAAUCCCCGGGCUCAACCUGGGAACUGCAUCUGAUAAUGGCAAGCUUGAGGCUCGUAGAGGGGGGUAGAAUUCCAGGUGUAGCGGUGAAAUGCGUAGAGAUCUGGAGGAAUACCGGUGGCGAAGGCGGCCCCCUGGACGAAGACUGACGCUCAGGUGCGAAAGCGUGGGGAGCAAACAGGAUUAGAUACCCUAGUAGUC
This 464-nucleotide ribosomal RNA is filed under the name uncultured bacterium. RNAcentral's name for it is "partial 16S ribosomal RNA". It matches the Rfam family "Bacterial small subunit ribosomal RNA", at positions 339 to 795 of the family's 1533-position model. The record is from RNAcentral.